UCCACCAUGGGCAUGUUAGUGAAUGUCAAGUCCACUGGAAUGUGGCAGCGCUUCGGCGUUCUUUUUGGGUCAGAGAGGGUGAAAACCCCGUUUACAUUCAUUAGCGUGUCUGUUGUGUGGGCGUGUUGAAGAGUCGGAUUGUUUGGGAAUGCAAUCCAAAACGGGUGGUAAAUUCCAUCCAAGACUAAAUAUUAGCAAGAGACCGAUAGCGAACAAGUACCGUGAGGGAAAGAUGAAAAGCACUCUGAAGAGAGAGUGAAAUAGUACGUGAAAUUGCUGAAAGGGAAACGCUUGAGACGAUUGUUGCUCUUGGGUGAAUCAGUUUCGGCUGCGCUCUAACAUCGUGGGCAGGAAGACAGNNUUUCUAGUGGGGGAGUCGCUUUUCUUAAAAAGGAAUUUUUUUUCGGGGUGGGNAAAANNAGGAAUUCGCGAGGGGGGGGGGAUAGACNCCCCCCGCUGGUAUAUANNUGGGAGGNGUGCGUCUUUGGUGGGAGGAGAGGGNUGGGUAUCCCCCAGAGGUUNUGUUGNAUUUUCNNNCNGGUGUUGAAGG
Molecule: ribosomal RNA, 550 nt
Filed under: Catenaria anguillulae
Lineage: Eukaryota; Fungi; Blastocladiomycota; Blastocladiomycetes; Blastocladiales; Catenariaceae
Description: partial large subunit ribosomal RNA
Rfam family: Eukaryotic large subunit ribosomal RNA
Source: RNAcentral